This 132-nucleotide small RNA is filed under the name Escherichia coli. Its description in RNAcentral is "RtT sRNA". It matches the Rfam family "RtT RNA". From Rfam's summary of the family: This family represents a bacterial cis-regulatory element known as RtT RNA. The exact function of RtT is unknown although it is thought that it may be involved in changing the cellular response in relation to amino acid starvation. The record is from RNAcentral. Lineage: Bacteria; Pseudomonadati; Pseudomonadota; Gammaproteobacteria; Enterobacterales; Enterobacteriaceae.
CUUUUUUGCUAUCUGCGAUACUCAAAGAUUCGAAGUUGCCGCAGGUUCGAGUUGAGCGCAGCGAAACAACGGAGCCGCUCGCGGCGACGGCCCGAAGGGCGAGCGAAGCGAGUCAUCCUGCACGACCCACCA